RNAcentral lists this ribosomal RNA (460 nucleotides) under uncultured bacterium. RNAcentral's name for it is "partial 16S ribosomal RNA". It matches the Rfam family "Bacterial small subunit ribosomal RNA", at positions 338 to 795 of the family's 1533-position model. The record is from RNAcentral.
CCUACGGGAGGCUGCAGUGAGGAAUAUUGGUCAAUGGACGAGAGUCUGAACCAGCCAAGUAGCGUGAAGGAUGACUGCCCUAUGGGUUGUAAACUUCUUUUAUAUGGGAAUAAAAUGUUCCACGUGUGGGAUUUUGUAUGUAACAUAUGAAUAAGGAUCGGCUAACUCCGUGCCAGCAGCCGCGGUAAUACGGAGGAUCCGAGCGUUAUCCGGAUUUAUUGGGUUUAAAGGGAGCGUAGGUGGAUUGUUAAGUCAGUUGUGAAAGUUUGCGGCUCAACCGUAAAAUUGCAGUUGAAACUGGCAGUCUUGAGUACAGUAGAGGUGGGCGGAAUUCGUGGUGUAGCGGUGAAAUGCUUAGAUAUCACGAAGAACUCCGAUUGCGAAGGCAGUUCACUGGACUGCAACUGACACUGAGGCUCGAAAGUGUGGGUAUCAAACAGGAUUAGAUACCCUAGUAGUC